UUACCAUCUUUCGGGUCCUAUCGCACGCGCUCAUGCUCCACCUCCCCGACGGCGCGGGCGAGACGGGCCGGUGGUGCGCCCGGCGCGGAGAGACGCACAGGGGCGCGGCGGUGGGGACCGGAGG
Molecule: long non-coding RNA, 124 nt
Organism: Thalassophryne amazonica
Lineage: Eukaryota; Metazoa; Chordata; Actinopteri; Batrachoidiformes; Batrachoididae
Exons: 4
Source: RefSeq, a predicted model, not a curated record